UCCAACACCAACUAAGAUUAAUUGCAUACAGAUUUCUCUGUAAAUAUAUUGAAUAAUAUAUAUAUAUUUUAACAGAGUUCAAUUUUUCAUAUUCAUUCCUACAAAAGUUCCCACGUUUUCAAAUAUACUCCUACGUACUGUUAGGAUUCGUUAGAAAAAUAUCGUUAAUCGUAAGUGAAAAUACUUAAUACUGAUUACUCAAUAAGGUGAAUUGAACUUUUUACCCUCUUAUAUUAUUUGUAAUUGAAAAAAAGAAGAACAUGAUCGUUGGAGAUUUUUAGAAGAAUACUUCUGUAUAAUUUAACAGUUGAAAUUUUUUUAGGGAUAUAUUUGUGAUGACAAAAAAAUCAUUUCGCUUAUUUUUUAUUAAAAAAUAAAUAGUGCUGUAACGGUAACAAAGCUGAGAGGCAAAUAUGAAUAUUACUAGAUUUUUGUAAGAUAAAUAUGAAAAGUUGAACUUUAUAGAGAUAUAUUUGUUAUUUAGUUAUGUUUAUAAAAAAUUAUAUGAAAUUAAUUCUAUAUAAAAUUAUAUUAUUUAUAUAAUUUAAAAAACUGUCUUAAGAUUUGUACAGAUAAAAUUAAAGUAUAAAAUUCACAUAGAUAAAAAUAAAUAAGUGUGA
This 620-nucleotide long non-coding RNA is filed under the name Ananas comosus (pineapple). RNAcentral describes it as "long non-coding RNA (ACOM_LNC010914)". The record is from RNAcentral. Lineage: Eukaryota; Viridiplantae; Streptophyta; Magnoliopsida; Poales; Bromeliaceae.